GACGAACGCUGGCGGCAUGCCUAAUACAUGCAAGUCGAGCGAACAGAUGAAGUGCUUGCACUUCUGUCGUUAGCGGCGAACGGGUGAGUAACACGUAAGGAAUCUACCUAUAAGCGGGGGAUAACAUUCGGAAACGGGUGCUAAUACCGCAUAAUAUCUUCUUCCGCAUGGAAGAAGAUUGAAAGACGGCUCUGCUGUCACUUAUAGAUGACCUUGCGGUGCAUUAGUUAGUUGGUGGGGUAACGGCCUACCAAGACGAUGAUGCAUAGCCGACCUGAGAGGGUGAUCGGCCACAUUGGGACUGAGACACGGCCCAAACUCCUACGGGAGGCAGCAGUAGGGAAUCUUCCGCAAUGGGCGAAAGCCUGACAGAGCAAUGCCGCGUGAGUGAAGAAGGCCUUCGGGUCGUAAAACUCUGUUAUAAGAGAAGAACAAAUUGUAGAGUAACUGCUACAGUCUUGACGGUAUCUUAUCAGAAAGCCACGGCUAACUACGUGCCAGCCGCCGCCGUAA
RNAcentral lists this ribosomal RNA (513 nucleotides) under uncultured bacterium. Its description in RNAcentral is "partial 16S ribosomal RNA". It matches the Rfam family "Bacterial small subunit ribosomal RNA", at positions 28 to 523 of the family's 1533-position model. The record is from RNAcentral.